UGCCUUUGUGUUGCCUGUUCAUUCCACGUGUUGUGAAUAUGGUGUCAACUAAGGCAUACAGUAACUCUUGUGGUGGGUUUUCACAGAGGUGUCCAGAGUGGCAUCUUGAGGGCUACCACAAGGACAUAA
Small nucleolar RNA from Anguilla rostrata (American eel), 129 nucleotides. RefSeq annotates it as small nucleolar RNA SNORA13. The transcript has a single exon. Lineage: Eukaryota; Metazoa; Chordata; Actinopteri; Anguilliformes; Anguillidae. The record is from RefSeq and is a predicted model, not a curated record.